This 633-nucleotide ribosomal RNA is filed under the name uncultured fungus. RNAcentral describes it as "eukaryotic LSU rRNA". The stretch from base 257 to 410 matches the Rfam family "5.8S ribosomal RNA". The record is from RNAcentral. Lineage: Eukaryota; Fungi.
GGAAGGAUCAUUAUUGAAUGAACUUGGUUAGGUUGUUGCUGGCUCUUUCGGGAGCAUGUGCACACUUAACACCAAUUUCUUACCACCUGUGCACCUUUUGUAGACUUGGAAUAACUCUCGAGGCAACUCGGUUUUGGAGAUUGCUGUGCGAAGGCUAGCUUUCUCCUAUAUAAUCCAGUCUAUGUUUUUCAUAUACCCCUAUUGUAUGUUCUAAGAAUGUAAUACAAGGGCUUUUAAUUGCCUUUAACCCUAAUACAACUUUCAACAACGGAUCUCUUGGCUCUCGCAUCGAUGAAGAACGCAGCGAAAUGCGAUAAGUAAUGUGAAUUGCAGAAUUCAGUGAAUCAUCGAAUCUUUGAACGCACCUUGCGCUCCUUGGUAUUCCGAGGAGCAUGCCUGUUUGAGUGUCAUGAAAUUCUCAACUUCUUCAGCUUUUUUGUUGAUGAGGAUUGGAUUUUGGGGGUUGCGGGCUUUAUUCAAAAGUUGGCUCUCCUUAAAUACAUUAGCGGAACCUUUGUGGACCAGCUUUGGUGUGAUAAUUAUCUACGCCAUGGCAGUGAAACAGUUUAAUAGGGUUCAGCUCCUAACAGUCUCCUGUAGACAAUUUUCUUGACUAUUUGACCUCAAAUCAGG